Long non-coding RNA from Alligator mississippiensis (American alligator), 848 nucleotides. RefSeq lists it as uncharacterized. NCBI's taxonomy places the organism in Eukaryota, Metazoa, Chordata, Crocodylia, Alligatoridae. The transcript is spliced from 2 exons. The record is from RefSeq and is a predicted model, not a curated record.
GUACGGGGGCGGGGGCGUGGACCUCCACAUAUACACUUGUACACGUAUACACAUAGGUGUGCAUGUCAGUAUACAUACAUGGAAAGAGUGCGUGUGGCAGUGCACAUACAUGUCUGCCUGUUUGCGCACACCUGCAUGCACACACACGCAGUAUGCACCUGCAGGCACGCUGUACCCUAUGUGCUACAGGUGCACUGUGUGUAUACACCUACACAUGCAGAUGCGUGUGCAUGCAUGUACACACACACACACGUGCAUGCAUGUACAUGGCUGCAUGGGCUCACACACCGAGUGCGUGAGUAGGGGUGGGAGUCAGUCAGCUCUGUGAGGCAUGUAAACACCUGCAUGCGAUUCACGAGGUUUCCGGCAGGAAGCCGUAGCAUCAGAAGCUGUUCGUAUCUGCUGUGGCAAGAGGUAGGGGUGGGAGUCAGUCUACUAUUUUUCAUAAUGAAAAACAGUGAAAUUAAUUUUUGAAAAGCAGGUGCCACAAAACUCAGGCCAGUUGCAGACGGGCGCCUGGAGCCGAAAGAGGCUGAGAAACCCCCGUACUAGGUACAGGAAGCCACGAUGAUCGCUUUCUCGACAGCAUCUUCAGUAGCACCUGGCGCUACGACUUGUUGUGAAGCAUUUACAGCUGCUCCACUUAUGCAUAUUUUCCAACAGGCAGGAUCUUUUGAAAACGAUACCUAAUGUUAUGUUAUUAAAAUGGCUAUCCAUACAAGGCAGAGUGUAAAAAUGAAAAUGCUGACAGGUAUUUUUUAAUCUUUUGAGAUUUUAACUAACAUUUCAUUGAUAUUUAUGUUUUAUUAAUUAUCUCUGUAAGCAAAUACAAAUUGACGUAUUAUGCA